RNAcentral lists this ribosomal RNA (492 nucleotides) under uncultured bacterium. RNAcentral's name for it is "SSU rRNA". It matches the Rfam family "Bacterial small subunit ribosomal RNA", at positions 26 to 518 of the family's 1533-position model. The record is from RNAcentral.
AGGACGAACGCUGGCGGCGUGCUUAACACAUGCAAGUGGAGCGACGAACCAGGGCUUGCCCUGGGGCAGAGCCGCGAACGGGUGAGUAACACGUGGGUUACCUGCCUUGAUGACCGGGACAACCCGAGGAAACUCGGGCUAAUACCGGAUGUGCCCGCAAGGGGAAAGGAAGCUUCGGCCUCCGCAUCGAGAUGGGCCCGCGGCCCAUUAGCUUGUUGGUGAGGUAACGGCUCACCAAGGCUUUGAUGGGUAGCUGGUCUGAGAGGACGAUCAGCCACACUGGGACUGAGACACGGCCCAGACUCCUACGGGAGGCAGCAGUGGGGAAUCUUGCGCAAUGCGCGAAAGCGUGACGCAGCAACGCCGCGUGGGGGAAGAAGGCUUUCGGGUUGUAAACCCCUUUCAGUUGGGACGAAGCCUCAUCGGUUAAUAGCCGCGUGGGGUGACGGUACCUUCACAAGAAGCACCGGCUAACUACGUGCCAGCAGCCGC